This 756-nucleotide ribosomal RNA is filed under the name uncultured bacterium. RNAcentral's name for it is "bacterial SSU rRNA". It matches the Rfam family "Bacterial small subunit ribosomal RNA", at positions 8 to 796 of the family's 1533-position model. The record is from RNAcentral.
AGAGUUUGAUCCUGGCUCAGAAUCAACGCUGGCGGCGUGCCUAACACAUGCAAGUCGCACGAGAAAGGGACUUCGGUCCUGAGUACAGUGGCGCACGGGUGAGUAACACGUGAAUCAUCUACCUUCGAGUGGGGAAUAACUGAGAGAAAUCUUAGCUAAUACCGCAUAAUACCUACGGGUCAAAGCAGCAAUGCGCUUGAAGAGGAGUUCGCGGCAGAUUAGUUAGUUGGCGGGGUAACGGCCCACCAAGACGAUGAUCUGUAUCCGGCCUGAGAGGGCGCACGGACACACUGGAACUGAAACACGGUCCAGACUCCUACGGGAGGCAGCAGUGGGGAAUUUUGCGCAAUGGGGGAAACCCUGACGCAGCAACGCCGCGUGGAGGAUGAAAUCCCUUGGGAUGUAAACUCCUUUCGAUAGGGAAGAUAAUGACGGUACCUAUAGAAGAAGCCCCGGCUAACUUCGUGCCAGCAGCCGCGGUAAUACGAGGGGGGCAAGCGUUGUUCGGAAUUAUUGGGCGUAAAGGGUGCGUAGGCGGUUUGACAAGUCUUAUGUGAAAUCUUCGGGCUCAACCCGAAGUCUGCAUGGGAAACUGUCGGGCUUGAGUAUGGGAGAGGUGAGUGGAAUUUCCGGUGUAGCGGUGAAAUGCGUAGAUAUCGGAAGGAACACCUGUGGCGAAAGCGGCUCACUGGACCAUAACUGACGCUGAUGCACGAAAGCUAGGGGAGCAAACAGGAUUAGAUACCCUGGUAGUCC